Molecule: ribosomal RNA, 1226 nt
Filed under: Bacillus subtilis
Lineage: Bacteria; Bacillati; Bacillota; Bacilli; Caryophanales; Bacillaceae
Description: bacterial SSU rRNA
Rfam family: Bacterial small subunit ribosomal RNA
Source: RNAcentral
ACACACCGAACUGAGGCCAAAUGCUUGUAAGACUGGGAUGGGUCCGGGAAACCGGGGCUAAUACCGGAUGGUUGUUUGAACCGCAUGGUUCAAACAUAAAAGGUGGCUUCGGCUACCACUUACAGAUGGACCCGCGGCGCAUUAGCUAGUUGGUGAGGUAACGGCUCACCAAGGCAACGAUGCGUAGCCGACCUGAGAGGGUGAUCGGCCACACUGGGACUGAGACACGGCCCAGACUCCUACGGGAGGCAGCAGUAGGGAAUCUUCCGCAAUGGACGAAAGUCUGACGGAGCAACGCCGCGUGAGUGAUGAAAGGUUUUCGGAUCGUAAAGCUCUGUUGUUAGGGAAGAACAAGUACCGUUCGAAUAGGGCGGUACCUUGACGGUACCUAACCAGAAAGCCACGGCUAACUACGUGCCAGCAGCCGCGGUAAUACGUAGGUGGCAAGCGUUGUCCGGAAUUAUUGGGCGUAAAGGGCUCGCAGGCGGUUUCUUAAGUCUGAUGUGAAAGCCCCCGGCUCAACCGGGGAGGGUCAUUGGAAACUGGGGAACUUGAGUGCAGAAGAGGAGAGUGGAAUUCCACGUGUAGCGGUGAAAUGCGUAGAGAUGUGGAGGAACACCAGUGGCGAAGGCGACUCUCUGGUCUGUAACUGACGCUGAGGAGCGAAAGCGUGGGGAGCGAACAGGAUUAGAUACCCUGGUAGUCCACGCCGUAAACGAUGAGUGCUAAGUGUUAGGGGGUUUCCGCCCCUUAGUGCUGCAGCUAACGCAUUAAGCACUCCGCCUGGGGAGUACGGUCGCAAGACUGAAACUCAAAGGAAUUGACGGGGGCCCGCACAAGCGGUGGAGCAUGUGGUUUAAUUCGAAGCAACGCGAAGAACCUUACCAGGUCUUGACAUCCUCUGACAAUCCUAGAGAUAGGACGUCCCCUUCGGGGGCAGAGUGACAGUUGUUGCUUGUUUGUCGUCAGCUCGUGUCGUGAGAUGUUGGGUUAAGUCCGCAACGAGCGCAACCCUUGAUCUUAGUUGCCAGCAUUCAGUUGGGCACUCUAAGGUGACUGCCGGUGACAAACCGGAGGAAGGUGGGGAUGACGUCAAAUCAUCAUGCCCCUUAUGACCUGGGCUACACACGUGCUACAAUGGACAGAACAAAGGGCAGCGAAACCGCGAGGUUAAGCCAAUCCCACAAAUCUGUUUUCAGUUCGGAUGGGCAUGUUUCCCACCGAGU